This is a long non-coding RNA of Hyla sarda, 363 nucleotides long. RefSeq lists it as uncharacterized. The record is from RefSeq and is a predicted model, not a curated record. NCBI's taxonomy places the organism in Eukaryota, Metazoa, Chordata, Amphibia, Anura, Hylidae. The transcript has 3 exons.
UAUUGGUAAGAGAGACGGAGCAUCAGAUAGAAAUGAAAGAAUGAAGAAUGAAGAGGAAAAGUACUUAAGAAUGCAUUGGAAAGGGAAUGUGUUUCUACCCCAGAGCCGUUUGAAUAUUAAAGCACAGAUGUGUGGAGCACUUCACCUUGGGAGGAUAAUGUCAGGGCGAGUUGAUGUCUUUCAGCAAUCCUCAUUUUAAACACUUCACAGCCUUCAGAAGGAGCUCUCCAGAAACCACCUCAGUGCACAUUCCCUGUUCUCGUACAGAACUCUUUGCAUUCUGUAAUUGUCAAGCACACUGACUGAAAAUGAUUUUAUACCGCUGUGUUAAAAUGGAAUAUUUAGUGAUGUCAUUUAGAGGGA